This 218-nucleotide long non-coding RNA is filed under the name Lathyrus oleraceus (garden pea). RNAcentral describes it as "Pisum sativum (pea) long non-coding RNA (PSAT_LNC000711)". Lineage: Eukaryota; Viridiplantae; Streptophyta; Magnoliopsida; Fabales; Fabaceae. The record is from RNAcentral.
CUCCAAACGGAGGCUUCGAUUCUGGUACAAAAAUAAACCUCCGACUCCUAAAGCUAAAGACGACAGCAACUCGAAGUGACCCAACUCAAUCUCACAAAGGUGCAAAAUAAGAACCUGCUCCAAACGGAGGCUUCGAUUCUGGUACAAAAAUAAACCUCCGACUCCUAAAGCUAAAGACGACAGCAACUCGAAGUGACCCAACUCAAUCUCACAAAGGU